Molecule: long non-coding RNA, 325 nt
Filed under: Panicum hallii
Lineage: Eukaryota; Viridiplantae; Streptophyta; Magnoliopsida; Poales; Poaceae
Description: long non-coding RNA (PHAL_LNC000891)
Source: RNAcentral
AAAACAUGAAAUAAAACUCUCCAUUAAGGUAACAUCCUUCGAGCUGGUAUUCUUAAAAACAUGCAUAUAAAACCCGCAUCGUAAUUAGGCCGUAAUUAGCCUAAGCUGCCAAGGACCCCCACGAGAGGGCAGACAGAAAUUAGAAAAAGAAACCAGAAAAGCAAAGGGGAAAGGAAGAUCGUCUUCCUCCUCAAGUUAUCCAGAUCAUCUGUAUUCCCAGUAAUCUCGCUCACGGUGGUAUCAGAUUCAGUUGUUCCUCGGCGUGCGUCCGUUGUCUCAAUCACGAUUCCGUCGGCUUGAGCGGAAAAAGGGAUUAAGUUGGAGA